GGGCUAUAGCUCAGCAAGGUAGAGCACCUCGUUUACACACCGAGAAGGUCUACGGUUCGA
RNAcentral lists this transfer RNA (60 nucleotides) under Araucaria bernieri. RNAcentral's name for it is "partial tRNA-Val". The record is from RNAcentral. Lineage: Eukaryota; Viridiplantae; Streptophyta; Pinopsida; Araucariales; Araucariaceae.